GAUGAACGCUAGCGGCAGGCCUAACACAUGCAAGUCGAACGGUAACAUAGAGAAGCUUGCUUUUCUGAUGACGAGUGGCGCACGGGUGCGUAACGCGUAUACAAUCUACCUUUUACAGGGGGAUAGCCUUUAGAAAUGAAGAAUAAUACCCCAUAGUAUGUAGUUAUCGCAUGAUAAUUACAUUAAAGAUUUAUCGGUAAGAGAUGAGUAUGCGUCCUAUUAGCUAGAUGGUGUGGUAACGGCACACCAUGGCAACGAUAGGUAGGGGCCCUGAGAGGGGGAUCCCCCACACUGGUACUGAGACACGGACCAGACUCCUACGGGAGGCAGCAGUGAGGAAUAUUGGACAAUGGGCGAGAGCCUGAUCCAGCCAUGCCGCGUGCAGGAAGACUGCCCCUAUGGGUUUAAACUGCUUUUAUACAGGAAGAAACCCAUCUACGUGUAGGUGGCUGACGGUACUGUAAG
RNAcentral lists this ribosomal RNA (465 nucleotides) under uncultured bacterium. Its description in RNAcentral is "bacterial SSU rRNA". It matches the Rfam family "Bacterial small subunit ribosomal RNA", at positions 28 to 484 of the family's 1533-position model. The record is from RNAcentral.